UCUUUGCUCCACUGUAAACAGAAGUGAAGAA
Molecule: non-coding RNA, 31 nt
Filed under: Rattus norvegicus (Norway rat)
Lineage: Eukaryota; Metazoa; Chordata; Mammalia; Rodentia; Muridae
Source: RNAcentral